AUGGAAGCUAUGAUGAAGGAAUUGGUCCUGAAAGAAGAUGAUCUGGAGGAUGUUGUGGUUCAGGAUGGCGACAUACCAGAGGAAGCGGCGCGGUGGAUGGCGAUCGCGCGGGUGCACAUUGAUAAGCCGUACAGUCAGUAUUGGUUUUUUCGUAACAUGCGGGUUGCAUGGGAUCUAGCACAAGAAGUCAAGUUCCGCCCUCUAGAAGACAACCUCUAUACUAUGCAAUUCUCCUGCCUGGGUGAUUGGGAG
This 252-nucleotide ribosomal RNA is filed under the name Triticum aestivum (bread wheat). RNAcentral describes it as "partial small subunit ribosomal RNA". Lineage: Eukaryota; Viridiplantae; Streptophyta; Magnoliopsida; Poales; Poaceae. The record is from RNAcentral.